UGAUCCCUUUCGGAGUGGAGUUUCCUAGCUGGUGCCUGUCCUCUCUUGAGCCUUUGUUUCUUGAGUGAGCACUCACUGGGGCUGUGGCUCCAUGAACUGGAUUUCAGGAAACCAGCCAAGGCAUUCUCUCUCUCUCUCCAUUCCUAGAAAGGCAGAAAGCCUGGGAAUGGGUUCGGCAGGAAGAUCUCUGUACCUCAAUCUCCAUUGCUUUCAGCACCACUGGCUUUCUCCCCAGCUCAAGUGCAAAACCUGCCAUCGUUGCUACCUGGGGUGCCUCAGACUCACCCAAGUCCCCCAGGCCAGAGGACAUGCUCUCAAGCCUUGUUUCAGAAAGAGGGACCCAAAGGCUGUUAGGGAAGAGAACCAGGGUCCUCAAACCCAGGGUUUUCUCACCCACUGCCUCUGCUCUGGCUGUGGCCUGCCAGACCUCUCCUCUGAUUUUCGCUUUCCUUCCUGCCAGUGCCUUUGUUUAUCCGAGGCGCCAAGAUCCCACUGUGAAGUCUGAAAGGAAGACCAGUGGUUCUCGCUUUUCCUCUAGAUGCUGUGUCUCCCAAUGUCAUCUUCUUUCCUCUCAAAGACAAUUGGACGUUGUUACAGAUUUUCUUGGAAUGAGUUGAUCGCUGCCUGGAUUCACAGAAGGACAAAUUACAAUGCAUUUUGAAAGACUCGUCUACAGUCAACUAAAAUACCAGUUAUCACAGACUUCACUGGCCUUAAUGAGGAGGCUGAGAGGGAUUUAAUUACUGGGACAUGCAACGCUUACACCAAACUCUGUUCGAUUCACGACUUGGAAAAGCAAAUGUGGAUACAGAUGAGUGUGGACAUGGCUUCAGUAGGAAAUGUCGAGUUUGUUCAUCACUCUGAAGUUUCUUCAGCUGCAACGGAAACUGCACCCUCCCUCCCGACUUGUUGGUUAUCUUGCUGUGCUCCCAAGAAGGUAUUUUCUGCUGACCUGAUAGAUCAGACCUUUGUCAUUUUGAUUGAAAAGAUGUUUACCUGUUGGUCCCCAGCCUCACUCUUCUGAACCUCAGAUCCACUGAGUGUGUAUCCAGAGGUAAGUAUGUGGUAAGUAUGCUUGUCAUUUACAUUAUCUGUCAGCAUGAGUAUUGGUUUCCUAGAAACCUAAUAUUGAAAACACUUAGCAUUGCUAAAAGCAUUAAAUGAAAUAAAGACUCAAUAUAGCUGCACUAAUCUGUGCUUUCUAAAUUUACUGAUGGACGUGAAGAAAGUAGGUUGGCAUGGAGUUUAUACAAUUUAUGGAUCACACUGAUCUGAAUUCAGACAGUGUGUGCUCAGAUAAAAAUAUUGUUUCCUCCCAUGAGGUUUCCAAUUUUGCAGAGAAGAAUACCUCUGUUUAGCUCAUUACUUAACACAAUGGGUAGCUGGGUGGCCUUGCAUUCUGGAAGUGAAAUGACACAAGAAUGUCUCCACUGCAUUCUCCAGAGGUAAAGAUUCUCUGGCACAAAAUCACAACCAAGGUGGGGUUCCAAAACUAUAGAACAAAUGGCAGCAGCCAUGCAGCCAGCCUUGGUUCGGGUGGGCUGUAAAAGCAGAGGUUGUCCUCGUGUUAUCAGCACUGACUUCCUGUUGUGGCCACACUGACAGAGAUGAGAUGGCAGAAAGCAGGAAAGAGACCAGAGCUGCAAUUGACAGAUGGCUGGCCAAAGUUGAAGGGUCAGAGACUACACCAAAGACUUCUCAGAAAA
This is a long non-coding RNA of Homo sapiens (human), 1706 nucleotides long. Ensembl annotates it as long intergenic non-protein coding RNA 2880. The record is from Ensembl. Lineage: Eukaryota; Metazoa; Chordata; Mammalia; Primates; Hominidae.